GAGUGAAUUAUCACUGAUGUUGAACAUAAAUGGAAUUCAGUCAAGUUUCAACUUUAAACACUGUGUCUGAGGAGACUUCUUAAUCGUUUCUUUCUACCUCAGAAGACACAAAGUUCCUUGUUGCAAUGUUUUCUGUUGGUGACUGGGGCUAAUGAGGAGAUGUAAAACCACAGUGAAUCCAGUGACUGUUUCAAAUCCGGGCCUAUUUGUACAUGUUUGAAAUGGUGGUGUCAAU
Lonchura striata (white-rumped munia) is the source of this 235-nucleotide non-coding RNA. Lineage: Eukaryota; Metazoa; Chordata; Aves; Passeriformes; Estrildidae. The record is from RefSeq and is a predicted model, not a curated record.